Molecule: ribosomal RNA, 473 nt
Filed under: uncultured Bacteroidota bacterium
Lineage: Bacteria; Pseudomonadati; Bacteroidota
Description: bacterial SSU rRNA
Rfam family: Bacterial small subunit ribosomal RNA
Source: RNAcentral
AGGAAUAUUGGUCAAUGGACGCAAGUCUGAUCCAGCCAUGCCGCGUGAAGGAUGAAGGCCUCUGGGUUGUAAACUUCUUUUACCUGGAAAGAAACCUCNGUUUUCUAUAUAGAGUUGACCGUACUCAGANGAAUAACGCACCGGCUAUCUCCGUGCCAGCAGCCGCGGUAAUACGGAGGGUGCAAGCGUUAUCCGGAUUUACUGGGUAUAAAGGGUGUGUAGGCGGGUUUUUAAGUCAGUGGAGAUAUCUCCGGGCUCAACUGGGAAACUGCCAUUGAUACAUAUUAGUCUUGAAUGCCGUUGAGGGUAGGCGGAAUAAGUCAGUAGCGGAGAAAUGCAUAGAUAUGACUUAGAACACCAAUUGCGUAAGGCGAGCUUGCUAAACNAAUAUUGACGCUGAGGCACGAAAGCGAGGGGAUCACAACAGGAUUAGAUCCCCUGGUAGUCCACGCCAUAAACGAUGAUUACUCGAC